This 21-nucleotide microRNA is filed under the name Pristionchus pacificus. RNAcentral describes it as "ppc-miR-2253b". Lineage: Eukaryota; Metazoa; Nematoda; Chromadorea; Rhabditida; Neodiplogasteridae. The record is from miRBase by way of RNAcentral.
UAUGGCACUGCUGAAGGUCCG